This 72-nucleotide transfer RNA is filed under the name Heterocephalus glaber (naked mole-rat). It matches the Rfam family "tRNA". Rfam says of the family: Transfer RNA (tRNA) molecules are approximately 80 nucleotides in length. Their secondary structure includes four short double-helical elements and three loops (D, anti-codon, and T loops). Further hydrogen bonds mediate the characteristic L-shaped molecular structure. tRNAs have two regions of fundamental functional importance: the anti-codon, which is responsible for specific mRNA codon recognition, and the 3' end, to which the tRNAs corresponding amino acid is attached (by aminoacyl-tRNA synthetases). tRNAs cope with the degeneracy of the genetic code in two manners: having more than one tRNA (with a specific anti-codon) for a particular amino acid; and 'wobble' base-pairing, i.e. permitting non-standard base-pairing at the 3rd anti-codon position. Lineage: Eukaryota; Metazoa; Chordata; Mammalia; Rodentia; Bathyergidae. The record is from Rfam by way of RNAcentral.
GGUGGUGUAGCUCAGUGGUAGAGUAUGUGUUUAGCAUCCAUGAGGUCCUAGGUUAGAUCCCUAGCGCUCUCC